This is a non-coding RNA of Coffea arabica (coffee), 5316 nucleotides long. The record is from RefSeq and is a predicted model, not a curated record. NCBI's taxonomy places the organism in Eukaryota, Viridiplantae, Streptophyta, Magnoliopsida, Gentianales, Rubiaceae.
GAACCCACAAACUUGGCAUUUUGCAUUGGAGAGAGAUGGAGCAGCAGGAGCUGCAGCAGCAGCAGCCAAAGAUAAAACUGGCGAAUGCUCUGCUAAAGAACUCAAAAAACCCCAAACUCGCAUGGCAACUCUUCAAACGGACCUCUCUCUCAACCCCCAACCUCUUCUUCCAAUCUCUCCCCAUCAUCACCCGCAUUCUCCUUCGCUUCAGUAUGUUCGCCGAGAUCGACAGUCUUCACCAUUUCCUUCUUUCCCAACCACCCGUAAAGAAUUCUUCUCUAUACACCGUCGUUAGGAUCCUGGCCGAGUCAGGCCAUGUUGACAAGGCCUUGUCUCAGUUUCAAACUCUCCGAGCCCAGUUCCCUGAUCGUCCUCCUUUGGUUUCGCUGUACAAUUUGCUUAUUCAGUCUUCGCUGAAAGGAGAUUGUCGGCAAAACUUCGUUUCUUGGUUGUAUAAAGACAUGAUUUUUGCUGGGAUUUUGCCAGAAACGUAUACUUUUAACCUGUUGAUUGGUGGGCUGUGUGAUUCGGGUCGAUUGGAAGAUGCUCAGAAACUAUUUGAUAAAAUGCGUGAAAAAGGAUGUGAACCUAAUGAGUUCAGUUUUGGGAUUUUGGUCCGUGGGUAUUGUAGAGUCGGACUUGCUUCUAAUGGAUUGGAGCUUUUGGAUUUGAUGAAGGAAAUGGAUGUGUUCCCAAAUUUGGUUAUUUAUAACACUUUGAUUGCGAGCUUUUGUAAAGAAGGUAAGACUGAGGAGGCAGAGAAAUUGGUGGAGCAGAUGAGGGAGGAUGGGCUUGUUCCGGAUGUUGUUACAUUUAACUCUAGGAUUUCAGCACUUUGCAAGUCGGGUAACAUGUUGGAGGCUUCCAGGAUUUUUAGGGACAUGCAGAUGAAUGAAGAGUUGGGCUUACCUAAACUUAAUACGAUUACAUUUAACUUGAUGUUAGAGGGGUUUUGCAAUGAAGGCAUGUUGGAUGAAGCGAAGACCCUGGUUCAGUCCAUGAAGCAAAAUGAUGUUUUCCCGAAUGUUGAGAGCUAUAACAUAUGGCUGUAUGGUUUGGUAAGGAAUAAGAAGGUCUUUGAUGCUCAGUUAGUUCUUAAAGAUAUGGUGGAUCAGGGUGUAGAACCAAGUACAUACUCAUACAACAUUGUGAUGAAUGGCCUGUGCAAGAAUGGGAUGCUCGGUGAUGCAAGGAUGUUGAUGGGAUUGAUGACAAGUGGUGGGAUCUCUCCAGAUACGGUCACUUAUAGUACUCUACUCCAUGGAUACUGCUGCAAAGGAAAGGUAGUAGAGGCAAACAGGGUUUUACAUGAGAUGAUGAAGAAUGGAUACACUCCAAAUAAUUAUACAUGCAACAUUUUGCUGCACAGCCUCUGGAAAGAAGGGAAAAUUUCAGAAGCAGAGAAGCUACUGCAAAAGAUGAAUGAAGGUGGCUGUGAUUUGGACAUUGUGAGUUGCAAUAUUGUGAUUGAUGGUCUUUGCAGAACUGGAAGGGUGGACAAAGCAGUUGAAAUUGUGAGUGAAAUGUGGACUCAUGGAAGUGCUGCUCUUGGUAAUAUUGGGAAUUCCUUCAUUGGCCUGGUGGAUGAGGGAAACAACGGAAAGAAAUGCAUGCCUGACUUAAUUACAUAUUCAACCAUCAUUAGCGGCUUGUGCAAUGAUGGAAGGCUUGAUGAAGCCAAAAAGAAGUUUGUUGAGAUGAUGAAGAAAAACUUAUACCCUGAUUCAGUUGUAUAUAAUACUUUUCUCUACAAUUUGUGUAAAAAGGGUAAGGUAUCAUCUGCAUUUCAGGUUUUGAAGGACAUGGAGAAAAAGGGUUGCAACAAGAACUUAAAUACAUACAACUCUUUGAUUCUAGGGCUGCGGAGCAAGAGUCAAAUAUUUGAAAUGUCUGGACUGAUGGAUGAGAUGAGAGAAAGAGGCAUUUCUCCCAAUGUUUUUACAUACAAUACUGUAAUAAGCUGUCUUUGUGAAGCAGGAAGAACAGAAGAAGCUAUUUCUCUUUUAGAGGAAAUGUUACAGAAGGGUACAACCACCCCAAAUACUGAUUCAUUCGAGUUUUUAAUUAAAGCAUUUUGUAGGGCGGGUGAAUUCAGGCCUGCACUAGAUGUAUUUGAUAUUGCUCUUGAUAUAUGUGGCCAUAAGGAAGCACUUUAUGCUAUAAUAUUCAAUGAGAUGCUAACCGGGGGGGAAACAUUGGAAGCAAAGGUAAUAUUUGAAGCUGCAAUGAACAGAUAUCUUUGCCUAGGCAGCUUCCUGUACACUGAUCUGAUUGAUAGGUUGUGCAAAGAUGAAAAGUUUGAAGAAGCUCAUGAGGUUCUCAACAAAAUGAUUUCUAAAGGGUAUGGGUUUGAUCCUGCAUCAUUUAUGCCAGUGAUUGAUGCAUUGACUAAAAGAGGAAGGAAGCACGAGGCUGAUGAACUAUCAGAGAGAAUGCUAAAUAUGGCUGCACAAGGUAGGGUGGUAAACAAGGUUUACUUUAGCCAAGUUGAUAGGGCGUCAAGUCGGGGGAAACUAGGGAAACUAGAUCGAUCUCUUGGAAGCCAUUGGCAGACAAUCUUGCACAGAGAAGAUGGAAGUUCAACAGCUUUGAAAACUUUGAAGCGGGUGCAAAAGGGAUGGGGUCAAGGAAGUGUAUCAAGUCUACAAGUCAAAAGAAGUGACUAUCUUGAUGAAUGGGAUGCUGCUGGAUAAAAUUAUAUGUUUUUGUCACAUAUACAUAUGCAGGAUAAUUUCUCAUGUUGUUCGGACUGAGGGUCAAGACUUAGGAACAAGUUCAAAUAUAAACAGCCACUCAUUCAAAGGAAAGAUGUGAAACAUAAUUAAGAGGUCUACAGCCAAAUGCAAGAAGCAGCCACUAAACAGUCAAGAGAACUCAACAUUACAAUCAACAGUUAAUACAGUAUAUGCAGAAAGUCUACUUGCUAUAGGAUCCGCAAGAUCUUAUGCUAAUCUUCAGCCAUUGUCUUGCUAUUCCAACUUUGUCAGCACUGGAAGUCAAGGGCCACAAUCCAAUCAACUGAAGGGACAGUAAAUUCACCAAAGAAGUGUUCUUUCUUAAUUCCAGUCAGCUGUGAAAACAGUAGUCCUCACGCCUCGACCGAUGAUAAUUGUUUCUGACUACAGUCUAUUUCUUGGUCUGUGAAGCAAAGAGUUCUCUAAUGAAGUAAAGCUUGAAGAUGUCAUCUGCUGUUAAACCAUUAUCCUGACAUGGUGUUAGUCAACAUGCUACAUGUAAGGGGGUCUGAAAACUUGCUAUCCAUGUAGUGACAGGUAAUUUAAACUCCAGAGCUUUCAAAACAUGUCUUUUUGUAAAUAGUGCUGAUGCAGUUGUCCAAGAAGUGACAGGUAAAAUAUGCUGAUGCAGUUGGUAAAGGGGACUGAAAGCUUGGUAUCCAUUUAAUGACACGUAAUUAAACUCCAGAGCUUUCAGAACAUGUCUUUUGUCCAAGUAAAGAAUGUAGAUGAUUUCAUGUGGCAUAAUUUGUCUUACUUCCUUGUUUUACAUCAACUUGAGUUACCAGAAUAGUAGUUGAAUUUACUCCAUGGACAUUAAGCCUCAAGCCAGACUGGUGGUGAUGACAGUCUCAAAAAUAUGCCUGUCCCUGCGAAAUUAUCUUCCAUUUUGCCUUUCUCUGUUUUACCAAGGCUGGAUAAGAUUGUUUUCUGGGUGGUCAUACUGUUGUUCAGGAGGAUUUUAAACCAAAUUUAAUGUUUGUUCUUUUACAAAGGUUUAUGAAUGGUUUUAUGGAGACUUGUAAGGUGACUUUCAGAUAUUUGACCACAACUUGACUUCUAUAAUCUGUGGAUUAGGAGAUUAAAUACUGGUGGUUAGGGAUUUGGGCUUCAUUAUUUUUCAAUUGAAGAAGUGAAGUAAGCACAAUAUAAAAUGGCUGAUAUCAUCAUGCACAAGAGAUGGUAAACCAUGAUAUAUUGCUUGUUGUUUGACUAAUUCUUGUAUGUUCUUCAGGGUUUGCAUGCCUUUAUAAAACUCUGCUAUGCAUUCUUUUGCAAUCUUUAAUUAGGAUGUGUAACUUUAGAAGGAUACAUGUAUAUCCAAAUCUAUAGACUUAUAAGUAGAAACAAAGACACAAAUAAAGAGCGGUUUUGCAACUAAAUGUGGUAGUCUUUUAGAAGACAAAAAAACUCAAGUCUAUGGUAGACAUGGAUGACUUUUAGGCUGUGUGAAUGCACAAAAAGACCUUUUUGUUUAAUCUGGUUUAAUGACUUUUUGUCUACUCAAAGAGUGCCACAUUUAGUUGCAAUUCGAAAAAGUCAUCUCAUAGCAAACCGCUCUUUGUUUCUGUUGCCUUUGCUAAGCUCGUUUCUCUCAAAAUUGGUAAGUACUGUGUUUAUCAUGAGUUACUUUUCUACUUUGAAUUUUGAGUAACGGGGUGCAUGCCAGAGUGUGUGCAGCUUGUAUGUUUUCAGCCAAUAUGUUUUUAGUUAAAAUGCAUUUGUUAUUACCUAAAGUAGUGCUGGUUCAUAUGUCUAUUUUUUCUUACCUGAGAACAUUUAUUUAAGUUUGUUCAGGUAUUGCUUUUGCUUGUUUGGCAUAAAGCAGGUUCUAUUUGUGUUAUAUAGUUAUUAGAUACCAGCAUGCAAUUUCUCCUCUUAUCUGUUCCAUUAGAAGCUUAUCUAUAUGCCUUGAUGCAUCUCCAUUUACUUAUUUCGUCACAGUUGCAGGAACAAAUAAGAUCACAAAAUCUGAAGUUAUGCAAUAAUGCUGAUGGAUCAUGGCAAAAAGCAGUUACUUACCUUGAGGGAGAAAAAUGACUCAUGACUCGUGUAUACUAGUGAAUGUGUUAUUGUCUAUUUAGAUGGAAGCCUAAAAGAGCUUCCUGGAAAACAAGACCUAUAUUCAUGAUAAAUUCUCUGCAGAAAAAGUUCUGUAUUAGCCUUCUGAUCUGCAUAAGCAGUUGUAAUAUGUUAUCCUUACAAGUCUUGUCAUGUCAAAUUUCAGGCCUAGUUUCUUACAGAGCACACUUGGAUCAAUCUUCUCGGCUUCUUUAAGCUUGGACUACUUUGUGCAUACUCCUUAGUUCACUACAUGGACCCCAUGCUGCUUGUUUUGACGUUUUGGGAUAUAAUCAGGCUUCAUAAACUUUUACUUCAUUGAUUGUAGAAGUCAAUCUAGAUGAUGUAGAGGUUUUGUGCGGUCUGUCAAUGGUCAAGCAUAAAUAGCUCACCAACACAGGAGACUUUCUUAUGGAAUAAUUUUUUUUGAUCGAGAAUUUAGUUUGAUUUCAUGUUUAGUUUAGAAGAUGUUCAUUAAUAGCCUGCUGGAUUACAGAUUCUGAAAAACAGCUUUCUUCCA